This 2345-nucleotide long non-coding RNA is filed under the name Homo sapiens (human). RNAcentral describes it as "non-protein coding lnc-NCBP2-1:2". Lineage: Eukaryota; Metazoa; Chordata; Mammalia; Primates; Hominidae. The record is from RNAcentral.
AGAACGCGCUGGGAUGGGAACCGCGUUCAGGAGCUGCUAAGCGCGUUUGAGACUUCAGCCCCUUCUCCAGCUUUUAACCUAAAAGGGCUAAAUCAGACCGCAGCUAGUGUACACCCCUACCCUCCGCUGAUCCCGUCACCCCUGCGCCGAAAGCAAAAGACCCAUUCCAGCUCUGGACGUUGUGAGGCCUGGCCCAGGCGUCCGCUCUCUGGUUUUCCUAUUGAUCUUACCCCUGCUUUGGGGCCAUUGUGUUGCGGGAAGUCAGGGACCCCAAACGGAGGGACCCGCUGAAGCCAUGGCAGAAGAACGUGGAUUGUGAAGAUUUCAUGGACAUUUAUUAGUUUCCCAAAUUAAUACUUUUAUAAUUUCUUAUGCCUGUCUUUACUGCAAUCUCUGAAGAUUUCAUGGACACUUAUCACUUCCCCAAUCAAUACCCUUAUGAUUUCCUAUGCCUGUCUUUACUUUAAUCUGUUAAUCCUGUCAGCUCGUAAACCAAGGAGGAUGUAUGUCGCCUCAGGACCCUGUGAUAAUUGCGUUAACUGCACAAAUUGUAGAACAUGUGUGUUUGAACAAUAUGAAAUCUGGGCACCUUGAAAAAAGAACAGGAUAACAGCAAUUGUUCAGGGAAUAACAGCGAUAACCUUAAACUCUGACCACCGGUGAGACGGGCGGAAAAGAGCCAUAUUUCUCUUCUUUCAAAAGCAAAUGGGAGAAAUAUUGCUGAAUUCUUUUUCUCAGCAAGGAACAUCCCUGAGAAAGAGAAUGCACCCCUGAGGGUGGGUCUAUAAAUGGCCCCCUUGGGUGUGGCCAUCUUCUGUGGUCGAGACUGUAGGGAUGAAAUAAACCCCAGUCUCCCAUAGCACUCCCAGGCUUAUUAGGAAGAGGAAAUUCCCCCCUAAUAAAUUUGGUCAGACCGGUUGAUCUCAAAACCCUGUCUCCUGAUAAGAUGUUAUCAAUGACAAUGGUGCCCGAAACUUCAUUAGCAAUUUUAAUUUCACCCCAGUCCUGUGGUCAUGUGAUCUCGCCCUGCCUCCAUUUGCCUUGUGAUAUUCUAUUACCUCAUGAAAGACGUGAUCUGUGACCCACACCUAUUCGCACACUCCCUCCCCUUUUGAAACUCCCUAAUAAAAACUUGCUGGUUUUGCAGCUUGUGGGGCAUCGUGGAACCUACCGACAUGUGAUGUCUCCCCCAGAUGCCCGGCUUUAAAAUUUCUCUCUUUGUACUCUGUCCCUUUAUUUCUCAAACCAGCGGAUGUUUAGGGAAAAUAGAAAAGAACUUACGUGACUAUCAGGGCAGGUUCCCCAAUAAUUGCAGUUCCUCUAGGUGGGAUGUUACCUCAUUAAUUUGAGAUCUUUCUAACUUUUUGAGGUAGGUGUUUAGCACCAUAAACUUUUCUCUUAACACUGCUUUUGCUGUAUCCCAGAGAUUUCCGUAUGUUAUGUCUCUGUUUUCAUUUAUUUCAAAGAUUUUUUUACUUCUGCCUUAAUUGCACUAUUUACCCAAAAGUCUUUUAGGAGCAAGUUGUUUAAUUUCCAUGUAACUGUGUGGUUUAAAGAGAUCUUCUUGGUAUUGAUUUCCAUUUUUAUUCUACCGAGGUCUGAGAAUAUGGUUGCUAUGAUUUAGGUUUUUUUAAAUUUAUCGAAACUUGCUUUAUGGCCAGGCAUGUGGUGGAAUGUGUUCUAUGUGCAGAUGAGAAAAAUGUAUAUUCCUGUGGUUGAUGGGUGGAGUAUUCUGUAGAUGUCUAUUAGGUCCAAUUGGUCAAGUGUUGAAUUUAAGUCCAGAAUUUUUGUCAGCUUUCUUUCUUCUUUCUCCCUUCCUUCCUUCCUUCCUCUUUCUUUUCUUUCCUUCCUUCCUUUUUCUUUUUCUUUUGUCUGAGACAGAGUCUCGCUCUUUCAUCCAGGCUGGAGUGCAGUAGCGCAAUCUUAGCUCACUGCAACCUCUACCUCCCAGCUCAAGCGAUUCUCCUGCCUCAGCCUCCUGAGUAGCUGGGAACACAGGCGUGCACCACCAUGCCCACCUAAUUUUUGUAUUUUACAAAACAGAGAUAGGGUUUCACCAUGUUGGCCAGACUGGUCUCGAACUCCUGGCCUCAAGUGAUCUGCCCACCUCAGCCUCCCAAAGUGCUGGGAUUACAGGCAUGAGCCACUGUGCCCAGCCUAUUUUUGUCAGUUUUCUGCCUCAAUGAUCGGUCUAGCAGUGUCAGUCAGGUGUUGAAGUACCCUACUAUUAUUGUGUGGCUUUCAAAGUCUUUUCAUAGGUCUAGAAGGACUCAUAAAUCUGGGUGAUCCAAUAUUGGGUAUAAAUAUAUUUAGGAUAUUUGUCUUCUUAUUGAAUUGAAUUCUUU